GGGGUUGUGGCUCAGAGGUAGAGCACUCGCCUAGCAUGUGUGAGGCACUGGGUUCGAUCCUCAGCACCACA
Molecule: transfer RNA, 71 nt
Filed under: Marmota monax (woodchuck)
Lineage: Eukaryota; Metazoa; Chordata; Mammalia; Rodentia; Sciuridae
Description: tRNA.Ala
Rfam family: tRNA
About the family: Transfer RNA (tRNA) molecules are approximately 80 nucleotides in length.
Source: RNAcentral